GACAGAGGCCCCAAGCGUUAGGCGGAAUCACUGGGCUUAAAGCGUGUGUAGGCGGACGCCUAAGUGUCUUGUGAAAUCCCACGGCUCACCCGUGGAACUGCUGGGCAUACUGGGCGUCUUGGGCCAACUAGGGGCAGCCGGAACAAGCGGUGGAGCGGUGAGAUGCGUAGAUAUCGCUUGGAACGCCGAAGGUGAAAACAGGCUGCUGGGGUUGCGCCGACGCUGAGACACGAAAGCCAGGGGAGCAAACGGG
This 253-nucleotide ribosomal RNA is filed under the name uncultured bacterium. RNAcentral describes it as "partial 16S ribosomal RNA". It matches the Rfam family "Bacterial small subunit ribosomal RNA", at positions 524 to 776 of the family's 1533-position model. The record is from RNAcentral.